Molecule: ribosomal RNA, 466 nt
Filed under: uncultured bacterium
Lineage: Bacteria
Description: bacterial SSU rRNA
Rfam family: Bacterial small subunit ribosomal RNA
Source: RNAcentral
UAGGGAAUAUUGGACAAUGGGUGAGAGCCUGAUCCAGCCACGCCGCGUGCAGGAAGAAGGCGUUAUGCGUUGUAAACUGCUUUUGCCAGGGGAUAAAAAGACCGUGCGCGGUUAAUUGAAGGUACCUGGUGAAUAAGCCACGGCUAACUACGUGCCAGCAGCCGCGGUAAUACGUAGGUGGCAAGCGUUGUCCGGAUUUAUUGGGUUUAAAGGGUGCGUAGGUGGCCCUGUAAGUCAGUGGUGAAAUAUCUCAGCUUAACUGAGAGGGUGCCAUUGAUACUGCAGGGCUUGAGUACAGAUGAGGUAGGCGGAAUUGACGGUGUAGCGGUGAAAUGCAUAGAUAUCGUCAAGAACACCGAUAGCGAAGGCAGCUUACCAAGCUGUAACUGACACUGAGGCACGAAAGUGUGGGGAUCAAACAGGAUUAGAUACCCAUGUAGUCCCUGAGCGGGCUGGCAAGGCGCAU